CCUAAACCGGGCCAGAGGAGUGUUGUCUGGUGACAGCCUGGCAGGCGGGCGGGAACGCCUGCCAGUGCUGGUGCGGCCCCCAGGGGCGGGGGCCGCAUGGGAGACCACAGGGGGUGCUCCAGGGGAGGUAGGCCAAGGGGGGUGCCCACACCGGCAGCCAUACCUCCACUAAUGCUCUGAAAUUGCUCCCUUAGUUGCCGGCCACCGUCCAGCGCAGCAGCAGCCCUGAGGGACGCCAGGAUCUCCUCAACAUCCAUCACCUCAAGCUGUGUCAAUCUGCAGGCCCAGGCAAACUGGAGCAGGAGGACAGGAAGUUGUUUGCUGGCCCGUAUCCCAAGUGGCACUGAGGUAAGACCUCCCACACACACUUCCCAAGUCACUCCCCUGCAUCUAUCCCCACACUCCUACAUGUGCCCUUGUCCGCUUAGCUGCGCUAUCUCCCCAGGGCCUGUUUCAACAUUACAUUAUUACGGUCUGAAUGGCCCGUACCAAAUGGGGCAAAAGCAUUUACUGCAACACUGGGUCAUUUGGACUACAAAUUCCGUAUAUUGUGCACUCUAUGUAACAAUGUUUGGAUUUUACAGAGCAGGCUCAGAAUGAGCCUGGAUUUGAAACAGAUUUAAUCGAAACUUAAAAUCAGGGCUUAGAUUUAUGAAAAUGUUUUAAUUAUAUUACAACUGGCAGUGCUAAGUGGUUAUACAUUUACAUUUUUUUAAACUAUGUUAUGUUAAAAUGGUUAAAGGACCACUAUAGGCACCCAGACCACUUCAACUUAAUGAAGUGGUCUGGGUGCCAGGUCCACCUAGGAUUAACCCUUUCUGCUGUAAACAUAGCAGUUUCAGAGAAACUGCUAUGUUUACUUUAGGGUUAAUCCAGCCUCUAGUGGCUGUCUCAUUGACAGCCGCUAGAGGCGCUUCCGCGCUUCUCACUGUGAUUUCACAGUGAGAAGAUGCCAGCGUCUAUAGGGGAGCCGCGCAUGCGCAUUCAGCCGAUGACGGGGAAAGGAGGAGGAGAGUUUCCAGCACCGAAGGAGCCCGGCGCUGGAGAAAGGUAAGUGUUUAACCCUUUCCUCUCCAUCCAGCCCGGCGGGAGUGGGACCCUGAGUAUGGUUUCCUGGCACUAUAGUGGUCCUUUAACCCCUUAACGCCGUUACGGCGUUCUAUGCUGUCGCGGCUUUAAAGGGCUGAACUCAAAUAUUAGUGUUUCAAACUGGUAAAUUGUAUUACAACGAUGAUAUUUUAAGUAAGAGUGACGUUUUUUGCAUUUUUUUUACAAACAAACGGCACCUUUAUGGACUAUAUUAUUGUUGUAAUAUGUUUUACUGUUUUAAAACACUAAUAUUUGUGUUUAGUGAAGUCUCCCGAGAAUAACAAUACCCCCCAUGUACAGGUUUUAUUGUGUUUUGGAAAGUUAGAGUGUCACAUUUAAGGCUUGCAUUUCAUUUUUUUGACACUGAAAUUUGCCAGAUUGGUUAUGUUGCCUUUGAGAGCGUAUGGUAGCCCAGGAAUAAGAAUUACCCCCAUGAUGGCAUACCAUUUGCAAAAUUAGACAACCCAAGGUAUUGCAAAUGGGGUAUGUCCAGUCAUUUUUAGUAGCCACUUAGUCACAAACACUGGCCAAAUAUUAGUUUUUUGCUUUUUUCACACAAAAACAAAUAUGGACGCUAACUUUGGACAGUGUUUGUGACUAAGUGGCUGCUAAAAAAGACUAAACACUACUUUUUCAAAUGGUAUGCCAUUAUAGGGGUAAUUCUCAUUCCUGGGCUACCACACCGUCUCAAAGGUAACAUUACUAAUCUGGCAAAUUUCAAAUUGAAAAUGAACAUUCUAUGUUUGACCCUGUAACUUUCCAAAACACCAUAAAACCUGUUAAUGGGGGGUACUGUUGUACUCGUGAGACAUCGCUGAUUACAAAUAUGUGCAUUUUUUUGCAGUAAUACCUAACAGUAUUAUGACAUUAACAGCUAAAAUGUCAGACGGAAAUACAAAUUUAAAAAAAAUCUUAUUUUCUAAAAAAAAUAAUAAUUUUAUUCAUAAUAAAUGAUGUUCCAUAUAUGAAUAAUUAAUGAUAAAUUAAAGCCCUGUUUCUCCUGAACAAAAUUAUGUAUAAUAAGUGUGGGUGCACUUAAUGUGACAGCGGUGAAUUACGGGUGAACAGACAUAUAGAGCAAAUUCCUGUUUUUGUUUACGUUUUGUUUUGAUCAGAACGUGUACUAUUGACUCCGUCCUGAAGGGGUUAAUAUAAAAUAGGGUUUUUUAAUUAUUUGCCUGCAGACUGCUGGCACCAACAAUGGGCAAAUAGUGCUUCUAAUUUUAAUCCACAAAUGUUAAAACAUCGCUAAUGACAGUUGUGUUCUCAAAUACCAUCAGGAUGACUAAAUGGUAGUUAAGAUGAAUCUAGAAUUAGAUAUGACAUUAUAUGAUAAUUGUGAACUUAAGUGGGCUUAACGGGUACCUAGGAAACAUUGAUCAUUGAUAAAACUCAUGAUGAAAUAACUUAGCUUCAUACUCAAACUCAGCGUUGUCUAGUUUUAACCUAAUCCUUCCUUUAUUCUGCAUUUACUAUUAAUUGCUUUUAUUCUGCUGCUAUCAUUUGAAAAUUAUACUAUAAAAAAAAUCUAUAAACAACUUUGCAUGAAAGCUGAAACAAUUACAAGAAUUAAAAUUCCUAACUAUUGUAUGUGACCCAAUAUUUUUUGUCAGUUUCAUUUUAUGCACCUUACAAUAUACACAGAGUUACUAUCAUUUUUUAAUAAUAGAAAUACUCUAAGUGAAUGUAUGGAAUAAAGUAACACAGAGUAGCUAAGGUAGCUGGACUUUUAAAUUCAUUAUUUAUAACAUACUUGCAUUUGGAUACUUUUAAUAACUGAGAAUUCUUUAUAAAUGACUCUUGUAAAAUAAAAUUUCUAAACCAGUUUAAAUAAUUAGCUAUAUGUUAUCAAUAACUUAUCUAAAAAAAAAUGUUUUUUUUACAGAGAACGACAAUCUGUUUCUUACUUGGUAAAGGUAUAGCAUAAUAAAUAAUAAUAAAUAAUGCCAAAUUUGAUAGCUUCUUUUUGUUACUAAAUUGCCUGAAUUUUCCUUUUUGUUCAGCUUAUGACUAAAGACAUCUAGGCAGCACAUAAGUGGCUUUAAAUCAUGUUGUUUCACAUCAUCACAACAGGAAAUGUAACCUUUUGUACUUACACUACCAUGAUGGCUGCAGGCCAAUAAGUAAUAGAACACCUAUAAUCAGAAGCUGUUUUGACCAAACUGUUUGAUGCUGUUUUAAUAAGAUUUCAAAAAACAAAACAAGUACAGUUUAGUGUAUUGUGUACAUUCCCUAUUGUUUCAGAAGGUCCAAAGAGAAAUACGUGAUUUUUAUGGAGCACGGUGCAAGCACAUAAUUAGAUACGAUCUUUCUGCCGAGCACUGUCUGUCCCGCUGGAGUUGAUUGCAGGUUUAACACACCUCCAGAGGCUGCCAUCUGAUUGGCACAGAGUGUUUUUUGGCUGUGCAUGCGCACUAGACUCCCAAUGCUGUCCAAUGGGAAAGCUUUGCAUUGAUAUCAUUAAUCUUGAUGAUCUCAGCAUAAGAGGUGGAACAGAAAACCAAAGAUCAGCCAUGCAAGAGAGAAAAGGUAAAGUGAUAUCACUUAUAAUCCUUGCAGCCGGGCCAAGUCACCUAAAUGGUAACCAGGGCACUAUAGCGUUAGGAAUACACAGCUGUGUUUCUAACACUAUAGUGUUCCCGUAAGUGAAUUGUUCUUCAGCUGUGCUGCAAAAUUAACAGUGUGCGAAAUCCUCUUGGAAUGAAUGAAUGAUGCUGUAAUGUGCAAUAUUGUCAUUCAUUCACUUACAGGUCCAACAGAAUGUAAUAAGGAAUGUAAAGUAUUGUGUAUUUUGUAAAGUAUUGUGUAUUGUGUUCUCAGCAAUUAAUGUUAAUGUUUUACUUGCAAU
Non-coding RNA from Pelobates cultripes (western spadefoot toad), 3937 nucleotides. Lineage: Eukaryota; Metazoa; Chordata; Amphibia; Anura; Pelobatidae. The record is from the annotation of a GenBank genome assembly.